RNAcentral lists this ribosomal RNA (641 nucleotides) under Raffaelea subalba. RNAcentral's name for it is "eukaryotic LSU rRNA". It matches the Rfam family "Eukaryotic large subunit ribosomal RNA", at positions 146 to 809 of the family's 3401-position model. The record is from RNAcentral. Lineage: Eukaryota; Fungi; Ascomycota; Sordariomycetes; Ophiostomatales; Ophiostomataceae.
UAAUUUGGAGAGGAUGCUUUGGGCGCGGCGCCUUCCGAGUUCCUUGGAACAGGACGCCAGAGAGGGUGAGAGCCCCGUACGGUCGGACGCCUAGCCCGUGCAAAGCUCCUUCGACGAGUCGAGUAGUUUGGGAAUGCUGCUCAAAAUGGGAGGUAAAUUUCUUCUAAAGCUAAAUACCGGCCAGAGACCGAUAGCGCACAAGUAGAGUGAUCGAAAGAUGAAAAGCACUUUGAAAAGAGGGUUAAACAGCACGUGAAAUUGUUGAAAGGGAAGCGCCUGUGGCCAGACGUGCGCCCCGCGGACCACCCGUCGCUCUGCGGCGGGGCACGCCGCGGCGGCGCAGGCCAGCAUCGGCUCUCCCAGGGGGACAAAGGCCGCGGGAACGUAGCUCCUUCGGGAGUGUUAUAGCCCGCGGCGCCAUGCCUCUGGGGGGGCCGAGGACCGCGCCUUCGGGCAAGGAUGCUGGCGUAAUGGCCACCAGCGACCCGUCUUGAAACACGGACCAAGGAGUCAAGCAUUGGGGCGAGUGUUUGGGUGACAAACCCGCACGCGAAAUGAAAGUGAACGCAGGUGGGAGCCUCCGGGCGCACCACCGACCGAUCCUGAAGUUUUCGGAUGGAUUUGAGUAGGAGCCUUGCCGC